AAUAUUGGACAAUGGGGGCAACCCUGAUCCAGCCAUGCCGCGUGUGUGAAGAAGGUCUUCGGAUUGUAAAGCACUUUAAGUUGGGAGGAAGGGCUGUAGGUUAAUACCCUGAAGUUUUGACGUUACCAACAGAAUAACCACCGGCUAACCCUCUGCCAGCAGCCGCGGUAAUAGAGAGGGUGCAAGCGUUAAUCGGAAUUAUUGGGCGUAAAGCGUGCGUAGGUGGUUCAGUAAGAUGGGUGUGAAAUCCCCGGGCUUAACCUGGGAACUGGUUUCAUAACUGCUGAGCUAGAGUACGGUAGAGGGUAGUGGAAUUUCCUGUGUAGCGGUGAAAUGCGUAGAUAUAGGAAGGAACACCAGUGGCGAAGGCGACUACCUGGACUGAUACUGACACUGAGGUGCGAAAGCGUGGGGAGCAAA
RNAcentral lists this ribosomal RNA (420 nucleotides) under uncultured bacterium. Its description in RNAcentral is "partial 16S ribosomal RNA". It matches the Rfam family "Bacterial small subunit ribosomal RNA", at positions 360 to 772 of the family's 1533-position model. The record is from RNAcentral.